Melospiza melodia melodia is the source of this 1320-nucleotide long non-coding RNA. RefSeq lists it as uncharacterized. The record is from RefSeq and is a predicted model, not a curated record. The transcript is spliced from 6 exons. Lineage: Eukaryota; Metazoa; Chordata; Aves; Passeriformes; Passerellidae.
GCAUCCAGAAAAGGUUUCUGUCUAAAUUAGCAAAUGCCUAAAUUGUUCUUGGUUACAUCCCAUGAGCGGUUUCAGGCAGCGACUUUAUAAUGCUUUUAGGAUUUUCUUGUACACUGGUGAGAAAAUAGGCAGGUCUGAUAGUGGUUUCACUUUUUUUUCUACUUCACGUUCCAUAAGAUUCUUUUAUGCAAGCACUUGUUUUAAAAUUCUACUGUAAGCGUUUAUGGUUCACUUUUUUUUUCUUUGCAGCACCCGUGACUUUUUUUUCCCUCUAAAUCGGGAGUAAAUAUAGCUGAGUAAAAUUACCUUGAUUUUCUUCCUUCUUUUUUAACUGAAUUGUUUUUAUUAAAAAUCCUAUUUGAAUAUGUAGAAAAAGUGGGGAUGUCUUGUAAUAUAUCGUAGCUUUUCUUGUUUACAGGAUACUCAGAAAAUAUGUCUCCCUUAGAGUCCCACAGAAACGUUCUCAGUGCGAUCUCUAUCAAGUGCUAUGAGUCUUGAUCAAUUGGAGAAGAGCCCAAGAGAAAUUUUUCAUCCCUUGAUAUAAAAAGGAUCGGUGAAUUUUAACUUUGGAGUCCCCUAUGCUAAGGAUGCUCAGCUUACAGGUGAUGAAAUGUUCAGUAAUGUAUUUGCUGCAGCUCUGCUUACCCAAGCUUUGGGUUCCUUCUGUCCCACUGGGAGUUGCCCAAUUUGGUUGCAUCUGGUGAAAUUCACCCUGAGACCUUACAGAACCAGCUCCAACUACGUGAGAGCCAUUUGCAGUUCUCUCCAGACGCCUGGAGAAUGGGCGACGUUUCUGAGGAUCUGGCGAGCGUGCUUCUGUCAAAACUCAGUCUGUGAAAUUCCUGGGGAAAACCCUUCUGUGUCCUGAAGGGUUCAAACUCUGGUGAGGAUCCAGUUAUCAGGUGCUCACCUGGAUGGUUCCAGCUGCCAAAGGGAAAGACUCUCGUGUCCUUGUCGUUGGGCUCGGUGCUGUCCAAGAAGAUACGGGGACUAAAAAAAUCAUAAGAAGCAAAAUACAACUGCAGGGAAAAGAAGCUGGAGAGAACAGAAGACUCAUCACGGCGGGACAGCGUGAAGACUGAAAGUGUAAGAAGAUGUGGAGGGAAAGAGAGAAUCUGACAGGAGCAUCGGACGGACGAGUGCACGAAUUUUGCUUUUUUGCUUGGAUGUAAACUCAGGCGUUGAAAGGAAUUUGGGAGUGAGAAGGGACAUUUCAGAAGGAGAAGAAGCAAAAGAAGUUGUUGUUGUUGUUACAGUCCUGGCAAAAUCUUUUGUUCUAGCUAAUAAAAGAAGUUAGUUUAAAAAACAAAAAGGAAAAAA